Molecule: ribosomal RNA, 253 nt
Filed under: uncultured bacterium
Lineage: Bacteria
Description: partial 16S ribosomal RNA
Rfam family: Bacterial small subunit ribosomal RNA
Source: RNAcentral
UACGUAGGGGGCAAGCGUUAUCCGGAUUUACUGGGUGUAAAGGGAGCGUAGACGGCGAUGCAAGUCUGAAGUGAAAGCCCGGGGCUCAACCCCGGGACUGCUUUGGAAACUGUAUGGCUGGAGUGCUGGAGAGGCAAUCGGAAUUCCGUGUGUAGCGGUGAAAUGCGUAGAUAUACGGAGGAACACCAGUGGCGAAGGCGGAUUGCUGGACAGUAACUGACGCUGAGGCGCGAAAGCGUGGGGAGCAAACAGG